CAGCAACGCAGCGUGAGUGAAGAAGGCCUUCGGGUUGUAAAGCUCUGUUGCCCGUGACGAAGUGCCACAUCAGGAAAUGGGUGUGGUUUGACGGUAGCGGGAGAGGAAGCCCCGGCUAACUACGUGCCAGCAGCCGCGGUAAUACGUAGGGGGCGAGCGUUGUCCGGAUUUAUUGGGCGUAAAGGGCGUGUAGGCGGUUCUUUAAGUCAGGGGUGAAACCCCGGAGCUCAACUCCGGGCCUGCCUCUGAAACUGGGGAACUUGAGUGCUCUAGAGGGCAAUGGAAUUGCCGGUGUAGCAGUGAAAUGCGUAGAGAUCGGCAGGAACACCAGUGGCGAGGGCGACUGCCUGGGGAGUAACUGACGCUGAGGCGCGAAAGCUGGGGGAGCAAACGGGAUUAGAUACCCCGGUAGUCUCAGCCGUAAACGAUGAGUGCUAGGUGUAGCGGGUAUCGACCCCCGCUGUGCCGGAGUUAACGCAAUAAGCACUCCGCCUGGGGAGUACGGCCGCAAGGUUG
RNAcentral lists this ribosomal RNA (516 nucleotides) under uncultured Bacillota bacterium. RNAcentral's name for it is "bacterial SSU rRNA". It matches the Rfam family "Bacterial small subunit ribosomal RNA", at positions 389 to 896 of the family's 1533-position model. Lineage: Bacteria; Bacillati; Bacillota. The record is from RNAcentral.